Molecule: ribosomal RNA, 301 nt
Filed under: uncultured bacterium
Lineage: Bacteria
Description: partial 16S ribosomal RNA
Rfam family: Bacterial small subunit ribosomal RNA
Source: RNAcentral
CAGUCGCCGCGGUAAUACGAAGGGAGCUAGCGUUGCUCGGAAUGACUGGGCGUAAAGGGCGCGUAGGCGGCGAUCAAAGUCAGGCGUGAAAUUCCUGGGCUCAACCUGGGGGCUGCGCUUGAUACUUGGUUGCUUGAGUGGGGAAGAGGGUCGUGGAAUUCCCAGUGUAGAGGUGAAAUUCGUAGAUAUUGGGAAGAACACCGGUGGCGAAGGCGGCGACCUGGUCCUUGACUGACGCUGAGGCGCGAAAGCGUGGGGAGCAAACAGGAUUAGAUACCCCCGUAGUCCCUGUCUCUUAUAU